RNAcentral lists this ribosomal RNA (468 nucleotides) under uncultured bacterium. RNAcentral's name for it is "partial 16S ribosomal RNA". It matches the Rfam family "Bacterial small subunit ribosomal RNA", at positions 28 to 507 of the family's 1533-position model. The record is from RNAcentral.
GACGAACGCUGGCGGCGUGCUUAACACAUGCAAGUCGAACGGAAAGGCCCUGCUUUUGUGGGGUGCUCGAGUUGCGAACGGGUGAGUAACACGUGAGUAACCUGCCCUUGACUUUGGGAUAACUUCAGGAAACUGGGGCUAAUACCGGCUAGGAGCUCCUGCUGCAUGGUGGGGGUUGGAAAGUUUCGGCGGUUGGGGAUGGACUCGCGGCUUAUCAGCUUGUUGGUGGGGUAGUGGCUUACCAAGGCUUUGACGGGUAGCCGGCCUGAGAGGGUGACCGGACACAUUGGGACUGAGAUAAGGCCCAGACUCCUACGGGAGGCAGCAGUGGGGAAGAGUGCACAAUGGGCGGAAGGAAGAUGCAGCAAAGCAGCGUGGGGGAUGACGGCCUGCGGGUUGUAAUCCGAUGUCGCCUGUGACGAAGCGUGAGUGACGGUAAUGGGUAAAGAAGCACCGGCUAACUACGUG